RNAcentral lists this ribosomal RNA (494 nucleotides) under uncultured bacterium. RNAcentral's name for it is "partial 16S ribosomal RNA". It matches the Rfam family "Bacterial small subunit ribosomal RNA", at positions 28 to 507 of the family's 1533-position model. The record is from RNAcentral.
GACGAACGCUGGCGGCGCGCUUAACACAUGCAAGUCGAACGGAAAGGCCUGCUUUCCCUUGUGGAUUGCGGGUACUCGAGUGGCGAACGGGUGAGUAACACGUGAGUGAUCUGCCCCCAACUUGGGUAUAAGCCUGGGAAACUGGGUCUAAUUCCCGAUAGGACUGCAGGGUGGUGCCUGUGGUGGAAAACGAUUUUCUAGUGGUUGGGGAUGAGCUCGCGGCCUAUCAGCUUGUUGGUGGGGUAAUGGCCUACCAAGGCGGCGACGGGUAGCCGGCCUGAGAGGGUGGACGGCCACAUUGGGACUGAGAUACGGCCCAGACUCCUACGGGAGGCAGCAGUGGGGAAUAGUGCACAAUGGGUGGAAGCCUGAUGCAGCGACGCCGCGUGGGGGAUGACGGCCUUCGGGUUGUAAACUCCUUUCGACCGCGAGGAAGCCACCUGGUUGGAAGGGUGGUGACGGUAGUGGUAGAAGAAGCACCGGCUAACUACGUG